This 1808-nucleotide long non-coding RNA is filed under the name Homo sapiens (human). Its description in RNAcentral is "non-protein coding lnc-EEF1AKMT1-3:2". Lineage: Eukaryota; Metazoa; Chordata; Mammalia; Primates; Hominidae. The record is from RNAcentral.
GAGCACGCCGGCCGCCAGGCGCCCGUACAGCUGCUCCAGUAGCUCCUCCGGCCGGUCCGCGCAGCCCCGCGGCCGCGCGGGGCGCCUGCCCGCCCUCGGGGCGCCCGCGGCCCAGCUCGGCGGCAGCGCCAGCAGGAAGCCGGCUACCAGCAUCCAGACCUGAGGGACAGGCCACGCUCAGCGUCCGCACGCGCCGGAGGAGCCCGCCUGCGCCCCGCGCCCGUGUCCCGCCCGCGGCGCCCGGAGCCGGCGGGCGCCUCCCCUCGCCCCGCGGAGCCAGAGGCCGGCCCGGAGGAUGGGAGCCGCGCGGGCGGGCCCCAGAGCGCCCUCCCCGCCUGCCCGCCGCCCGCGGGGUCCCCGGGGCCCAGCCCGGCGCCGGCCCGCGCGCCCCCGGCCCCCGCCGCCGCCGCCGCCCCGAGCCGGGGGCCGCACGGGGGGCGGGUGCGGGGCGCGCGUGCACGUGUGCGUGUGCCUGCCGGGUUGCUGCGCCGCGGGCUGCGAGUGCUUGUGACCCGCCGCACCCUCACCCCCGGGCGCGCCAUCCCUGCUCCGCCGCCAGCGAGGGAGCCCCGGAGCCUAAGACGCCCGGACCCGCCGCCUCGCAGACCCACCCUUGCCCCUGCGCCUCGUCAUCCGCCCGCCCCAGCCAGCCCGCGCAGGGUCCGCGGCCCGCUUUUCCGCGAGAAGCCCCCUGUGGUCUUUCCUCGUACCCGGGGACUCGGACCGAGAAGCCGACUGAGCGAGGUCGCCGCCCGGCCUCACGGACACAGAGCGACUCUGCACCUUUCGCCUCCAGGAGCUGAAAACAUUUUGUCACUUGUGCAGUGUACUCACCAGUGCCCCCAACAUCUUCUCCCCCGAAAGCGCUUUCAGAUUCGCGCCGAGAUGGGGCGACGCGGCGGCUCUUGAGCGGAAUAACCCGAAGGGCCACGCAAACUGGGGCUUCCAGCCGCGAGCAUGCGGCGGGGCGCCCAGGGCCUGGGGUCGCGCGCUCAGGGCCUGUGCUGCGCCACGCAGGAGGAGGAGAGGGCUGGCCCUGCCGGGCGCGGGUGCGGGCCCGACUGGCUGAAGGAGGAGUGGGGACUGGCUUGGAAGUCUCCGAAGCAGAAAAGUGGGGCCGACAGGAUGGAAUUGGGGGAGGCCGAUUUUGGCUCAGAGAGAUUUCUCUAUUAAGGAAAGCAGUCCAAGAAUAGGCCCCCUGGAAGAGGAAUGCGCUCAAACCCAGAGGGAUUCUCCUUAGAGCUACCUCUUGAGAUUCUGUACUUCGAGGAAAUUAGAGGUUUUUUUAAAUCUCUAUUUUUAAUAAGGUGGGAGGAGGCUGUUGCUCCUUUCUCCUCAACAACAUGAAAUGAUCCUGUGCCUCUAUCCAACAACUCUACAACAAAGCACUGAAUACUUCCCUGACUGGCACUUUCAUGGCUGUUCAUGGGCAUCUCUUGGUCUAUGACGACGAUGUUGGAGAGUUCCUACUCCGUGAUAACUCAGUUCUAAGUGCAAGCAGUCACGUGAAAUGAGCCUGAUAGUCUGCGAAUGAAGAAACUAAAACGAACUAUAUUAUAUACUUCAUAACACAAGACAACGUGCUCGUUUGUUCAUUCUGCAAGUAAAUGCUUAAUGCUUCCUAGGUGGCAGGCUAAAGAAUAUGAUCAUUUUAAAGCAGUCAUGCUUUGAAAAUAAACAACCCAUCCCAGCUGUAAGCUUUUUGAAAGUGUACAAAAUAUGUAAUUGAUGACUCCCUAAAUGGUUUGCAGCUUUGGUAUUUGACUGAAUUGUAAACCAUUAGUUAAACUACAUUUCAGUUAUGCUUU